ACCUGGCUAGCUCAGUUGGUAGAGCAUGGGCCUCAGGAUCAUGGGUUUGUACCCCAUGCUGGGUG
Molecule: non-coding RNA, 65 nt
Organism: Pangasius djambal
Lineage: Eukaryota; Metazoa; Chordata; Actinopteri; Siluriformes; Pangasiidae
Source: the annotation of a GenBank genome assembly